Molecule: ribosomal RNA, 460 nt
Filed under: uncultured bacterium
Lineage: Bacteria
Description: partial 16S ribosomal RNA
Rfam family: Bacterial small subunit ribosomal RNA
Source: RNAcentral
CCUACGGGAGGCAGCAGUGAGGAAUAUUGGUCAAUGGACGAGAGUCUGAACCAGCCAAGUAGCGUGAAGGAUGACUGCCCUAUGGGUUGUAAACUUCUUUUAUAUGGGAAUAAAAUGUUCCACGUGUGGGAUUUUGUAUGUACCAUAUGAAUAAGGAUCGGCUAACUCCGUGCCAGCAGCCGCGGUAAUACGGAGGAUCCGAGCGUUAUCCGGAUUUAUUGGGUUUAAAGGGAGCGUAGGAGGAUUGUUAAGUCAGUUGUGAAAGUUUGCGGCUCAACCGUAAAAUUGCAGUUGAAACUGGCAGUCUUGAGUACAGUAGAGGUGGGCGGAAUUCGUGGUGUAGCGGUGAAAUGCUUAGAUAUCACGAAGAACUCCGAUUGCGAAGGCAGUUCACUGGACUGCAACUGACACUGAGGCUCGAAAGUGUGGGUAUCAAACAGGAUUAGAUACCCCAGUAGUC